RNAcentral lists this non-coding RNA (30 nucleotides) under Mus musculus (house mouse). The record is from RNAcentral. Lineage: Eukaryota; Metazoa; Chordata; Mammalia; Rodentia; Muridae.
UGACAGAAUUGCUGGGUGCUAUGACAGGUU